RNAcentral lists this long non-coding RNA (4891 nucleotides) under Podarcis lilfordi (Lilford's wall lizard). Lineage: Eukaryota; Metazoa; Chordata; Lepidosauria; Squamata; Lacertidae. The record is from RNAcentral.
GGAGUGGGAAGCUGGCAGCAGACCAGUGCUGGAUCUCAUUCAUCCAAGCAAAUCUGGGUCUGCGUGACACAUUAAGACUCCCAAGUUCUUCCUAUACGUGGCAUCAAUGCAGAUGGGAAGUCUGAGAGGGUGUUCUGAAGUUCUACAACUGAAGCGGACCAGCUGUAGCUCAGUACACACUUUCAGGAUGAGAAGAAGACCUGGAAACUAUAGGUAAGCCGUUCUGGAAUCUUUGGAAGAAGAUGGUCAUAUAUGAGGAUAGAUAGAAAGGACAACCAGAAAAUAUUGAGACUCCUCUAGGAACUCACUUAGAAUAUACCGUAUUUUCUCGUGUAUAAGACUAGGUUUCCCCCCUAAAAGAUAAUGUCAAAAAUUUAUACACAGAUACAUCUCCCCCCAUUUUCUUAAAUCGGAGUCCCCCAAAACAGUGGGCGUCUUAUACAUGGGGGUGUCUUAUAGGCGGAAAAAAUACGGUACAUCUGCCAUAUGUUCCAUUGCUGUACCUCAGAUAUUUUUGUUGAAUAAAGUUGAAUAAAUUAAACAAAUAUGGGGAGGGGGGUGUCUAUGAAACCUGACUUUCCUAAUCCAUGCACGUUUCUUCUACUCUUUUACGAUGAACAAACCACAACCCACAAUUAUCCACUUUAUCCUGGUAAAGCAAGGAGCCUUCACCUUUCAACAGGUAAGCCAGUGGUCCACAUCAUUCUGCUCAGCGGCAAGGAACAUUCCUCAACACUUCUGCACAUGGUCGGGAAUCUAUAGACAAAAAAGAUGGGCAAGGCACCACUUGGUAAAGGGUUGUCUGUAUUCACCCCGAGAUGGAAGAGCAGCAAGAAGGCCCCCUUGCCCUGUAAUUAAAAACUGGAAUUAAAAGUGUUUGGGGGAAGUGAUGAUGGUAUCAUACAGCAAUCUAGCUGAAAUGUGAUUCCGGGUGCCACUUUCUUUAUUAAAGAUUCUUACAAAGGCCAAAGAGUCAUUCAGGCUGCUUUAAUUUCAGCAAAGCCAGGCGCAGCUUUUCUUUAAAGAGCUUUGCAUCUCCUCCUCUGGCUUGUAAAUGGCUCAAAGAUAUACAACCUGCUUCAGCACUUGAAAAGCUGGAGGGGAAGAGAGUUUGAAGCUGAAAGCUUCCAGUCGUAUACGGAUACCCUUUGUGCCUUUGUUAUGAAAAGUAGAGCUCAGAUCUCCAAUUAUUCUUCUGGAUACAUUUAAUGAUAUCUCAAGCCGGAAUUCUACAUGGAGCUCAGAAAAGCCCGCGUUCCAACGCUGGAAGGGGCAACAGAGGUGAAUUUUAGUCUUUUGAAAGCAAGGAAGGAUUAUAGUGGGCUCACCACUUACGCUCACUUAUGCUAUCACAACCUUACGCAAAUAAGGGAGUAAAUAAAUAAACAGAGAGCUAGGGAAACAUGCCACUCCUUGCUUUCCAUGUAUUUUCCACACACCCAGCAGCUGAUCCUCGCUUACAGGGCUCUGGGAAGGUUGAGGAAGGGCACUGGAAAGCUCCCAGAGCACCUUGUGAAUCCUUCCCAGAGUCCAGUAAGCAGCCCUCAGCCUUGAGGCGAGUAGUUCCAAGGGUUCCUGUCUUUGUGCACGGCCCCCUGGAACCAAACCCUCACAGGUGCGUGUGUGUGUAUUGGCAGAGUGCAAAAUCGCCUGGAGAACAAACUGAGCCACUUCUGCAGGUCUCAAGUUUUGAAAGCGUGGAGGCUCAGAGCAGGAAGUCUGGAAGCCAGGUAUUAGCCCAGGUCCUGACAGCCUCCCCAGUCCACACCAUAGCUGCGGUGCCCACUUUCCCCCUUUUAGUACAAUCCCAGCAAACCAUGCAGAAUUCAGCGGGCAGUUUCUCCAUGAGAAGUCGAGCAUGUGGCAACACGAGAACGGAGCCUUUUCUGCAGUGGCUCCUCAUUUGUGGAAUGCUCUCCCCAGAGAGGCCCACCUGGUACCUUUAUUAUACACCUUUAGGCACCAGGCAAAAGUGUUCCUCUUCAACAAGGUCUUGGGCUGAUCAACAACCCUUUUAAAUGUGUUUGUGUGGGGUGGGGGAGGCGGGUAAUGUAUUGUUUUUUGCUCUCUUUUUUUUGCAUUUUUAUCUUGUAUUUUUAUGCUGUGACCUUCCCCGAGAUCCACAAGGGCAGUAUACAAAUUUAAUAAAUAAUUGUAAUAACAAUAAUAGUAACAAAUCUUAAACUACUUUCCACACAAAUAUUUUUGCCCCAUUUUAAUUCCCCUGGUUUUCCUGAUUGCUCUCCUUCAACGCAGAUCCAUUUCAAAUCCUCAGCUAUUCAGAGUUUCAGAUCCCUUGGAAGCUGUUGCACACACAGCUGUGCACACAAAGGCAUUGGCAAAGAUGUUGGGAUGAGUGUGCAACAUCGUACGCUAAGCAAGGUGUGCAAAGGCCUAUCAUCAAAUGGAAGCACAAAAAGAGGGAGAAGAAAGAAUGAAGGAGGGAGAAAGUGAAAGGGAGGAGAAAAAUAUAUAGCUGCCAUUUUAUCUUGCAUACAUUUGCACAGCAUUUCCUCAUAUUUCUUUAUCUCUCUCCUCUUGAUUUUUAUUAGCUCCUUCUUCCUUGGCUGCUGGGUCCACUAAUUAUCCAGGUAUCGAGGUCUGCUUCAGUUUUAUCUCUCCGUUUAUGUAGUAUCUGCCUUUGAGCACUAAAUACUGCUGCUCUUUUAAUCCAAGCCUAUCAUUCCUCCUUUAUGUUUCCAGAAAGCUGGAGUGUAUCCUAAUAUUAACACUGUGAAAGAUCGUUUUCCCUUCUUUCCUAGGACCAGGUUAAUUCAGUUGCACCACUUUCCCCAGAACUCACCAAUACAGGAUAGUCUUGAUAAUACUGAAAUAAUAAUGAGAGGAAGUAUGACGUAGUGGUUAGAGUGUCAGACUAGAAUGUGGGAGCCCAGGGUUCAAAUCCCCACUUGGCCAUGAAGAUAACUGGGUGACCUUGGGCCAGUUACUGCCUCUCAGUCUAAUCUACCUCACCAGGUUGUUGUGGGGAUGACCUCCAAACCAUCGCAGAAGCUUACGAAAAGCUUGGCCUAUCACUCAACAUCCAAAAAAAAGUGCUGCACCAACAAGUACAAAAUAACCCCUCUGAAGCACCACAAAUCCAACUCAGUGGUGUAACAUUGCAAAAUGUUGAUCACUUCUCCUACCCAGGCAGUUAUCUUUUCACAAGGGUCAACAAUGAUGCCAAAAUCCAGCAUCGCCUGAGCUCUGCGAGUGCGGCUUUCUUCCAAUUGAAGCGCAGAGUGUUUGAGGACCGGGACAUUUGCAGGAAAACCAAAAUGCUUGUUUACAAAGCUAUUGUACUACCGACCUUACUGUAUGCUUGUGAAACAUGGACCACAUAUAAACACCAUCUCCAACUCCUCGAAAGAUUCCAUCAAAGAUGUCUCCGAAAAAUUUUACGCAUCACUUGGGAAGACAGGCGACCUAAUAUCAGUGUACUGGAAGAAGCAAAGAUCACCAGUGUUGAAGCAAUGAUUCUUCAACAUCAGCUUUGUUGGACUGGUCAUGUUGUGUGGAUGCCUGAUGAUCGUCUUCCAAAGCAACUACUCUAUUCCAAACUUAAAAAUGGAAAGUGUAAUGCUGGUGGUCAGCAAAAGAGGUUUAAAGACUCUCUCAAGACAAAUCUUUAAAAAUGUAGUAUGCACACCAACAACUGGGAAACCCUUGCCUGUGAGCUCUCCAGUUGGAGAACAGCCUUUACCAAAGGUGUCAUGGGCUUUGAAGACACUCAAACUCAGGACGCAAGGGAGAAACGUGCUAAGAGGAAGGCACACUUGGCAAAUCCACACCGUGAUCAACUCCUGCCAGGAAAUCAAUGUCCCCACUGUGGAAGGAUGUGUGGAUCCAGAAUAGGCCUCCACAGUCACUUACAGACUCAUUGUUAAGACCGUGUUUAUGGAAGACAAUCUUACUCAGCUACAAGUGAUCGCAGAAGAAGAAGGAGAAGGAGAAGGAGAAGGAGAAGGAGAAGGAGAAGAAAAAGAAGAAGAAGAAGAAUUGGAAGAAGAAGAAGAAGAAGAAGAAUUGAAAGAAGAAGAAUUGGAAGAAGAAGAAUUGGAAGAAGAAGGGGAUUAAACAAGAAGCAGGAAUACCAGGUAUGCAACCUUGAGCUCCUUGGAGAAAAAGGUGGGGUACAAAUGUUGUUUUUGUUCCUCACUUCUAAUAUUUAUGGAUUGUUAAAUUUAAGAAGCGGGGAACACUGAGAGGAGGCUGAGAGGAGAUAUGAAAGCAAUCAUCAAAUAUCUGAAGGGCUGCCACAUGAAAGAUGGAGCAUGCUUGUUUUCUCCUGCUCUGGAGGGGAGGUUUUGAAGCAGAGGCUGGAUGGCCAUCUGUCAUGGAUGCUUCAGCUGAGAUUCCUGCAUUGGACUAGAGGACCCUUGGGGUCUCUUCCAGCUCUACGGUCCUAUGAUUCUAUCUGUUCUAGCUGCACACAUGCUACCAGUCCAGGUUCAAGGCUCUUCUUGUGUUGAUAUACAAAGCCCUGUACAAGCUUGGGCCCAGGGCAACUUAAGGACCACCUGAGUCCUUAUAUUAGAGCUUGAUCACUGAGAUAAUCUGGAGGAGGGCUGUUAGUUGCCCCCUUUAGUGUUACAAAAGUGCAGCUGCCCUCAGCUAGAAGCAGGGAGUUUAGUUCCACUGGUCUCAUGCUGUUGAACGCUAGUCCAGCAGAGAUUUGGCAGGCAUCCUUAGUGUUGACUUUCAGAUGUCUCUUGAAGGCCUUUUUUAAUGCCAGGCCUUUGCAGCUGCUUAAAUUGAUCAGCCACUUUAAUGAUCUGUAUUGUUUCCAACGGUGUUUUGUUCUUUAUAGACGUACCCUGCCCUCGUGUUUUAUGAUAUAGCACCAGACCCGUCGGCAGACCAACCCUGCAGUACAAAGAUAUCUGCAAAU